This 420-nucleotide ribosomal RNA is filed under the name Clostridioides difficile. Its description in RNAcentral is "partial 23S ribosomal RNA". It matches the Rfam family "Bacterial large subunit ribosomal RNA", at positions 1 to 423 of the family's 2925-position model. The record is from RNAcentral. Lineage: Bacteria; Bacillati; Bacillota; Clostridia; Peptostreptococcales; Peptostreptococcaceae.
GGUCAAGUUAUUAAGGGUGCAGGGCGGAUGCCUUGGCACUAGGAGCCGAUGAAGGACGUGAUAAGCUGCGAUAAGCUUCGGGGAGUUGCACGUAAACUUUGAUCCGAAGAUUUCCGAAUGAGGAAACUCACUUAGAGUAAUGUCUAAGUAUCAUUAAGUGAAUACAUAGCUUAAUGAGGGGAACUCAGGGAACUGAAACAUCUAAGUACCUGAAGGAAGAGAAAGAAAUUCGAUUCCGUAAGUAGCGGCGAGCGAACGCGGAUUAGCCCAAACCAAUAAAGUUUUCUUUAUUGGGGUUGCGGACAUAUCAUAACGAAGAGGUAUCGUAAUUGAAGAGGUUUGGAAAGACCCACCACAGAAGGUAAUAGUCCUGUAUGUUAAACGAGAAGACUUUAGAUAUGAUCCAGAGUACCACGGGAC